AGGGGUGCAGAUACCGGAUAUGGGAACACGCGGACCCAUCCCGAACCCGACCGUUAAGCAUAUCCGGGCCGAUGGUAGUAUGGCUUGUCCAUGCGAGAGUAGGUAGCGCCCCUC
Molecule: ribosomal RNA, 114 nt
Organism: Marinitoga piezophila KA3
Lineage: Bacteria; Thermotogati; Thermotogota; Thermotogae; Petrotogales; Petrotogaceae
Source: Rfam